AGCUUUGCGCAGUGUCAGUAUCACAGCCAAUGAGGUUUAUCCGAGGCGCGAUUAUUGCUAAUUGAAAAUCCACAUAUAACUUUUGACUGCCCAAAAACUUAACUACUAAGAGCCUACUGUUGACCGAUAACAUAAACAGUCAAUUAACACAUAGUCUGUAUGUGGUAUGUAUUAAAUACUGUAUUCUAACAAUGCAG
RNAcentral lists this small nuclear RNA (197 nucleotides) under Felis catus (domestic cat). RNAcentral describes it as "U4 spliceosomal RNA (ENSFCAG00000049962.1)". The stretch from base 1 to 72 matches the Rfam family "U4 spliceosomal RNA". Lineage: Eukaryota; Metazoa; Chordata; Mammalia; Carnivora; Felidae. The record is from RNAcentral.